RNAcentral lists this ribosomal RNA (405 nucleotides) under uncultured prokaryote. Its description in RNAcentral is "bacterial SSU rRNA". It matches the Rfam family "Bacterial small subunit ribosomal RNA", at positions 355 to 774 of the family's 1533-position model. The record is from RNAcentral.
UGGGGGAUAUUGCACAAUGGGCGAAAGCCUGAUGCAGCAACGCCGCGUGAGGGAAGACGGUUUUCGGAUUGUAAACCUCUGUCUUCGGUGAAGAAACAAAUGACGGUAACCGAGGAGGAAGCCCCGGCUAACUACGUGCCAGCAGCCGCGGUAAUACGUAGGUGGCAAGCGUUUUCCGGAAUUACUGGGUGUAAAGGGAGCGCAGGCGGGGAGACAAGUCAGCUGUGAAAACUAGGGGCUUAGCCCAGAAACUGCAGUUGAAACUGGUGGUCUUGAGUGGAGUAGAGGUAGGCGGAAUUCCGAGUGUAGCGGUGAAAUGCGUAGAUAUUCAGAGGAACACCAGUGGCGAAGGCGGCCUACUGGGCUCUAACUGACGCUGAGGCUCGAAAGUGUGGGGAGCAAACA